RNAcentral lists this ribosomal RNA (253 nucleotides) under uncultured bacterium. RNAcentral's name for it is "partial 16S ribosomal RNA". It matches the Rfam family "Bacterial small subunit ribosomal RNA", at positions 524 to 776 of the family's 1533-position model. The record is from RNAcentral.
UACGUAGGGUGCAAGCGUUGUCCGGAAUUACUGGGCGUAAAGCGUGCGCAGGCGGUUUUGUAAGUUUGUCGUGAAAUCCCCGGGCUUAACCUGGGAAUUGCGAUGAAGACUGCAAGGCUAGAAUCUGGCAGAGGGGGGUAGAAUUCCACGUGUAGCAGUGAAAUGCGUAGAGAUGUGGAGGAACACCGAUGGCGAAGGCAGCCCCCUGGGUCAAGAUUGACGCUCAUGCACGAAAGCGUGGGGAGCAAACAGG